Molecule: long non-coding RNA, 2754 nt
Organism: Bos taurus (domestic cattle)
Lineage: Eukaryota; Metazoa; Chordata; Mammalia; Artiodactyla; Bovidae
Source: Ensembl
CCUUCCAGCAGAGCGUCUUAAAUUGCUGUUGAAUGGCUCUGACUCAUCACCUGACGCUCGUUUGUUUUUUUUUUUUUUUCCUCUCGUUUUCCAUUAUAGAAACCUUAGCUUGUGAGUCAGGAUCAGAGAGAAAAGCGUGAGCCUGGCCGAGGGUGGGGGUGGGGAGGGCGUAAAGGCUGCGUGGGGGGCAAGGAACGGAGACAGAAGCCCCACCCAGUGAAUCCCCGCUUUGCCCCGAGGGUUUCUCUCGCCAGGACCGCGGAGCCCCCUGCCAUCUCUUUGACUGCAGGGGACGGGGUGGGGGGUGCAGCUCAUCCGAAGAGGGAAACCGCACCCACACCCGCGGGUUUCUCCGCCUGCCGUGUCCUCGCCAGGCUGGUCCCUCUGAACCAGGAGUCCCCGACUCCCGAGUCAGGUGUGGGUGGUUUUUUGUUUUUUUUUAAUUAAGGUAUAGUUGAUUCACAAUAUUAUAUUAGUGCCAGGUGUACAACAUUCCGAUUCAGUGUUUUUAUAAUUAUACUCCAUUUAAAGUUACUGCUAAACAACGGCUGUUCCCUGUGCUGUACAACAUACCCUCGGUGCUAACCUGGUUUAUUCACAGUGGUUUCUGUCCCUUAAUCCCCUUCCCCAUCUUGCCCCUCCCCCCUUCCCACUCCCUACCGAUAACCACUAGUUUCUAUCUGUGAGUCUCUUUUGUGUACAUUUAUUUUUUUAGAUUACACAUAAGUGGUGUCUCCUUGAAUGUUCAGUCGCUCACUCCUGUCCGACUCUUUGCUACUCUUAUGAACUGUAGCCUGCCAGGCUUCUCUGUCCAUCGGAUUUCCCAGGCAAGAAUACUGGAGUGGGUUGUCAUUCCCAACCCAGGGAUCGAACCCAGGGAUCGAACCCAGGUCUCCUGCAUUGCCAGAUUCUUUACCACCGAACCACCUCAGAAGCCCCCAUCUAAGUGAUAGCAUAGAAUAUUUGCCUUUGUCUGACAGGGGUGGCUUUUGUAAGGGCAAGUAUAAGUUAAGAAUAGAGGCUUACUGCCUGUAGCUGAAAGGGGGGAAAAAGCCUUCUCCAACCUCCCCCUUUUUCUUUCAGAAUUUCUUUUUCUCUGUCCUUUCAAACUUGGGUAAAUCGUUUUAAUGGUCAAGGAAGCCACUUGCCAGUCUUACGACACAAUCGUUUCCUCCAGGGCCUGGAGCUGUCCCUUUGCAAAGUCAGAGGAGAUAAGGCCUUGGCUCCCAGUGCCCGGGGAGAAGAUGGGCCCGAACUGUCAUCUGACUCCUCGUUGUGAAACCUGCAGAUGUAAUUCAUGUACCCACUGAGCAGCCUAAGAACGAGGCUACUUCCUGUCUGCAUCCCUUCAGCAGACUGCCUGCCAUACCCAUCACAUUCUGGUUUAACGCUUGCUCAAUAGUCAAACCGUUUUCUUUCUCUUCUAUCAUCAUGGAGAGGUUUUCGGCCUUAGGAGCAGAUUUUGUUUUCAAUCUCUUCCCCACACUUUGCACAGCACCGGGAAUGAAUCUCAUGUCAGGGACAGGCAGAGACACGAAUCCUCCUAUUGACCCGAAGAAGGCAGUCCAGGCCCAGCGGUCUGCGGCUUCUCUCCCAAAGUUUUCAGCUGCUGAUUUUUUUUUAAGAUUGAUUUAUUUAUUUUUGGCUGUGCUGGGUCUUCAUUGCUGUGUGGGGGCUUUUCUCUGUGGUGAGCGGGAGCUGCUCUCUGGUUGCCGUGCGUGGGUCUCUCAUUGUGGUGGCUGCUCUUGUGGUGGAGCCCCGGUUCUGGGGCUUCAGCAGUUGCGGCACAUGGGCUCAGCAGUUGCAGUUUUUGGUCUCUAGCUCACAGGCUCAGUAGUUGUGGUGCAUGGGCUUAGUUCCACAUGCUCCUUGGCAUGUGGAAUCUUCCCAGAUCAGGGACAAAAUGCAGUCUCCUGCAUUGGCAGGUGGAUUCCUACCCACUGGCAGUGGUGGUUUAGUCCCUAAGUCGUGUCUGAUUCUUGUGACCCCAUGAACUGUAGCUCGCCAGGCUCCUCUGUCCAUAGGAUUUUCCAAUCAAGAAUGCUGGAGUGGGUUGCCAUUUCCUUCUCCAGGGUAUCUUCCCAACCCGGGGAUCAAACCUGAGUCUAAUACACUGCAGGCAGAUUCUUUACCGACUGAGCUACCAGGGAAGCCCAGGGGCCACCAGGGAAGCCCCCAGCUGCUGAAUUUCUUACUUGUGGGUUUUGAAUUGUAGGCAGAACAUGCUCUGUGAGCAUCAAAAUAUUGAGCCUAAGUCUACAGGAACGGAAUUUUGUAAAUGUCCCAAGAUGGUUGCUGAUGGCCCAUGUGUUUUGAGUCCAUCUCCCACCUGAGAGGCCAGGUGGCCGGUGAAAGUCCUAGGAAUUGUGUCACUCCACGUGGCACCAGAUCCCUUGCUACCUCGUCCCUGUGCAGCCUGCCCUUGGCUGUGGCUGUCCUCUGAGCAAAACAGUGAAAUCAAAGAGGCCCUUCCGCUGCACAGGACAUAAUUACCUGACCCAAGAUACUCCCCUCCUUUACUACCAGCAUUCUUUCUCUGAGUCAGCCCAGGACUCUCAGGAGUUGCAGCUGAAUGAGCUUUAUUCAGCGUCUUUAGAGGCAGAAGCACCUGGGAAGGCGCUGCGGGGUGCGUCACACCUUAACCGGGUUGCUUUUUGCAAAUGUCCACGGAGACUUCACACUUAAUGAAGCUUUGCCAGGAGGAGCCAACCGGAGAAAGCCAAACGUGGCCCCCAACCAAUCACAUAGGAGCUC